This 253-nucleotide ribosomal RNA is filed under the name uncultured bacterium. RNAcentral describes it as "partial 16S ribosomal RNA". It matches the Rfam family "Bacterial small subunit ribosomal RNA", at positions 524 to 776 of the family's 1533-position model. The record is from RNAcentral.
UACGAAGGGGGCAAGCGUUGUUCGGAUUUACUGGGCGUAAAGGGCGCGUAGGCGGAACGACAAGUCAGAGGUGAAAGCCCUGGGCUCAACCCGGGAAUUGCCUUUGGGACUGCCGUUCUAGAGUUCGGAAGAGGAUGGCGGAAUACCCAGUGUAGAGGUGAAAUUCGUAGAUAUUGGGUAGAACACCGGUGGCGAAGGCGGCCAUCUGGUCCGACACUGACGCUGAGGAGCGAAAGCGUGGGGAGCAAACAGG